This 1169-nucleotide ribosomal RNA is filed under the name Chryseobacterium sp. RNAcentral describes it as "bacterial SSU rRNA". It matches the Rfam family "Bacterial small subunit ribosomal RNA", at positions 163 to 1340 of the family's 1533-position model. The record is from RNAcentral. Lineage: Bacteria; Pseudomonadati; Bacteroidota; Flavobacteriia; Flavobacteriales; Weeksellaceae.
UUAAUACCCCAUAAUAUAUUUGAUGGCAUCAUUAGAUAUUGAAAACUCCGGUGGAUAGAGAUGGGCACGCGCAAGAUUAGUUAGUUGGUGAGGUAACGGCUCACCAAGGCGAUGAUCUUUAGGGGGCCUGAGAGGGUGAUCCCCCACACUGGUACUGAGACACGGACCAGACUCCUACGGGAGGCAGCAGUGAGGAAUAUUGGACAAUGGGUUAGCGCCUGAUCCAGCCAUCCCGCGUGAAGGACGACGGCCCUAUGGGUUGUAAACUUCUUUUGUAUAGGGAUAAACCUACUCUCGUGAGAGUAGCUGAAGGUACUAUACGAAUAAGCACCGGCUAACUCCGUGCCAGCAGCCGCGGUAAUACGGAGGGUGCAAGCGUUAUCCGGAUUUAUUGGGUUUAAAGGGUCCGUAGGCGGAUCUGUAAGUCAGUGGUGAAAUCUCAUAGCUUAACUAUGAAACUGCCAUUGAUACUGCAGGUCUUGAGUAAAUUUGAAGUGGCUGGAAUAAGUAGUGUAGCGGUGAAAUGCAUAGAUAUUACUUAGAACACCAAUUGCGAAGGCAGGUCACUAAGAUUUAACUGACGCUGAUGGACGAAAGCGUGGGGAGCGAACAGGAUUAGAUACCCUGGUAGUCCACGCCGUAAACGAUGCUAACUCGUUUUUUGUGAUUCGUCAUGAGAGACUAAGCGAAAGUGAUAAGUUAGCCACCUGGGGAGUACGUUCGCAAGAAUGAAACUCAAAGGAAUUGACGGGGGCCCGCACAAGCGGUGGAUUAUGUGGUUUAAUUCGAUGAUACGCGAGGAACCUUACCAAGACUUAAAUGGGAAUUGACAGAUUUAGAAAUAGAUCCUUCUUCGGACAAUUUUCAAGGUGCUGCAUGGUUGUCGUCAGCUCGUGCCGUGAGGUGUUAGGUUAAGUCCUGCAACGAGCGCAACCCCUGUCGCCAGUUGCUACCAUUCAGUUGAGGACUCUGGCGAGACUGCCUACGCAAGUAGAGAGGAAGGUGGGGAUGACGUCAAAUCAUCACGGCCCUUACGUCUUGGGCCACACACGUAAUACAAUGGCCGGUACAGAGGGCAGCUACACAGCGAUGUGAUGCAAAUCUCGAAAGCCGGUCUCAGUUCGGAUUGGAGUCUGCAACUCGACUCUAUGAAGCUGGAAUCGCUAGUA